This 69-nucleotide transfer RNA is filed under the name Tripterygium wilfordii. Its description in RNAcentral is "tRNA-Phe". Lineage: Eukaryota; Viridiplantae; Streptophyta; Magnoliopsida; Celastrales; Celastraceae. The record is from RNAcentral.
UUCACGUUAGAAUAAAGAAAGUUCGCGGGUUGAAUGCCUGAAGUGUUGGUUCGAGUCCAAUUCGUGAGA